This 638-nucleotide long non-coding RNA is filed under the name Amborella trichopoda. RNAcentral describes it as "long non-coding RNA (ATRI_LNC001315)". Lineage: Eukaryota; Viridiplantae; Streptophyta; Magnoliopsida; Amborellales; Amborellaceae. The record is from RNAcentral.
GGUGGACAAACCCAAACUAUUAACAAAAGAUAGUUAAAAAGCUGAGAACGAUAGAUGUGAUUGGAAAAGAAUAAGGAAACCUAUUGAACAAAAUAUAAGGGAAAAGAUUCAUACCAUAAAAUGAAAGCAAAUAAAAGAUGUUAAAGUAAACAUCUGAAGCUAAAAUGGAAAGACCCAAUAAAGGAAAACUAACAAGUGCGAUAUUAGAACGCGUGAGAGACAUGAGAGAUUUACAUUAUUUCAUAAAUAAGAGGGGAAAAGAGGAAUGCACAACAAAUUAAAAUAGAAGUUAAUAUCACAAGGAAAAGAGAAAAAUAACCACACAAAAGGAAAUGAAAACUAAUAAAUGAGAAAAAGGGGACUGUACUAUUUACUAAGGAAAAUUAAUAAAGGGCAACAAUGCCACAAACUAAGAGAAUGUAUGUUCAUGAAGUAGUGAAGGUGGAGGAAAGGGGGAUCUACUUCAUAAAGUAGUGAAGUGAGAGAAAGGAAUAAACAUAAAACCUAUCAAGAGAUAAGUGUUGUUAAUAAGAGAAGAGUAACUAUUCAAUGGGAGGACAAGAAAUGGGGGUGAAAGAAGAAGGUCUACCUUAUUAAAUGAGAGAGAUAAAGAAGAUGGGUAAAUAUAACAAAUCAAA